GAUCCUGGCUCAGGAUGAACGCUAGCUACAGGCUUAACACACGCAAGUCGAGGGGCAUCAGGAAGAAAGCUUGCUUUCUUUGCUGGCGACCGGCGCACGGGUGAGUAACACGUAUCCAACCUGCCCUUUACUCGGGGAUAGCCUUUCGAAAGAAAGAUUAAUACCCGAUAGCAUAAUGAUUCCGCAUGGUUUCAUUAUUAAAGGAUUCCGGUAAAGGAUGGGGAUGCGUUCCAUUAGGUUGUUGGUGAGGUAACCGG
RNAcentral lists this ribosomal RNA (257 nucleotides) under uncultured bacterium. Its description in RNAcentral is "partial 16S ribosomal RNA". It matches the Rfam family "Bacterial small subunit ribosomal RNA", at positions 15 to 263 of the family's 1533-position model. The record is from RNAcentral.